AUGACAAAGGUCAAAAAGUAAAAUCUCUGCCCUCAAGGAAUUGACACAGUGACGGGAAGAGAGGGGACUGACCAGCAGAUCUCACCCGUGGGUAAUGAGCCCAGAGAGAUCAGGGAUCAGGAGAGGUCUGCCACAGCAGCAAGGAGGCUUCCCCGGGGAGGCAGUGACAGUGACUGGCUGAGGCUUGAAGAGGAGCUACCUGCCAAGAAGAUUAGCCCUGAGCUAACAUCUGCCAAUCCUUCUCUUUUUGCUGAGGAAGACUGGCCCUGAGCUGACAUCCAUGCCCAUCUUCCUCUACUUCAUACGUGGGACACCUGCCACAGCAUGGCUUGCCAAGUAGUGCCACGUUCACACCCGCGAUCUGAACCAGUGAACAAUGGGCUGUUGAAGCAGAAUGUGCAAAUCAACCACUGUGCCACCAGGUCAAUUCAAGCCAUCAUCAAGUCGACUCCGACAGCCUGCCGCCCCAUCUCUCUGCCUCUCCCACUGCUGUCCUUACACGGCAGCCAGGGUCUUGAAAGCAUGAAUGACAUCUCUUCCUUGCUCAAAACCCUCCAAAGGCUUUCCAUUGCAAGUGGAAUAAAACUCAGACCUGUUACUACACCCCACGAGGCUCUAUGUGAUCUUGCCUCUCUCCAUUUUCCCCUCGAGCCAGCCUGCCUUCUAUAUGUCAACACGCUAGGCUUAUAGCAACUCAGGGCCUUGCUUAUCUUGAUCCCGUGCCAGGAACCUCUUCCAAUGACAUCUCCCUUCUCAUCAUUGUCUCUUCCUUAGACAGGACUUUCCUAUCCAAGUCUGGCAGAGACUUCUAGUUGUCCUCCAAUAUCUACUCUUCCCUUUUCCCAAAGAAAUGGAACCUCCUAUUUUUAGCUGAGUCCGUAAUCGGCCAGUCUCCCUUAAACUGGUUAUUGCUACUGGCCAAUGCAAUAUAAGAAGAAACAUAACAUGGCAGUUUCCAGAAACCAUUCUUAAAAGAUUAUUGGCACAUACCUUUGCCUUUUAUUCAUUCUGCUGGCUGGCAUGUGACAUGAUGGCUGGAUCUGGAGCAGCCAUCUUAGACCAUGAGGUAAACUUAGAAAUGGAGGCUGUGCACAGCAGAGCAACAGAAUAGAAGGAGCCUGAAUCACUGAGGAUUUCAUGGAGUGCAAUGACCACAACAGACCUGGGUUACUCGCUUCUGGCCUUCUACUUGAGAGAGAAAUAAACUUUUAUCUUGUUUAAACCACUGUUAUUUUGGAUCCUGUUAUCAACUUAAUUCUAAUUGAUAGACUAACCUGGCUAAGGCAGCCUUCUUUUAUAUUUAUCUGUAUUUUUUUCUUCAAAGUACUUAGCACCUGAAAUUACCCUACAUAUUUACUUAUACUUUUAUUUCUUUUUUUAUUGUCUGUCUUCUCCCUUCUGAAAGGUAAACUCCUUGAGGCCAGGGAUCAUCUGACAUUCACUGCUAUAUCCCUUCCCCCUGGAAUACUGCCAUAAUAGGCGCUUCAUAAAUAUUUGUGGGAUGAAUGGAAGGAGUGUUCCUUGAAACUCAUCUUAGGAGACCCUGCUUUGGUAGACAAGGACAUUACCCUCAGCUCUACGUACUUCAAAAGGGAAUAUGUUAUCUGCUGAAAAGAAUUCCAAAGAAGACAGACGACGUGCUUUUCAACAUCCCUAGCCUUCAACAGAUACACAGGAAUUACCCAUAUAUCUGAUAUCAGGCAACAAUAACAACUUGGACACACGAUUAAUAAAAUCCAUUUAUUGGCCUCUUUUUGAUGUUAGACAGCCUAUGGGGCAAAGAGAGAGAAAUUUAAACUUGUGUCUCUUUGCUCAACUUAUCGUGUCAAUUCCAGUCACUAAGCGAGUCUCUUACAGGGAUGUCAAACAGGUUUUUUCUCUCAUGACAACUGCGAUCAAUGGUUAGUGGCUGCCUGGAGCUCUGUGUUGAAGAUGAUUAUAAGACCUUCAACGGGUUUGGAGGGGAAAUAUGCUGUGAUUGAUUCUUAAUGUCUGUUGUGAGUGCAGUGCUGGGAUUGAUUGUUGAGGUCUGUUGUGGGUGCAGAAUAGCAGAAGGCAUAAAAUGCUUGUUGUGUGUUUCCUCAGCAAAAACCAGUCUUCUUACAAACUAACCAUGUUGUUUUGGUUGGCAAAUUAAGACUUAAUACACUUAAGUGCCAAAAUGAGUGGUUAAGACGAGUCUAUAGAGUCAGAAAAAAGGGCUUCCUUCAGGUCUUAAGGUCAAGAUAAAUUGCAUGCAAGAACUGAGUUGGAGCUUGGAGGGUGGGAAGGUGGGGUCUUUUGAGGAGACCCCAGAAGAAAUUCUCAGGAGAGACUGCUAAUGAGCUGCCAAUGCCCCAGGGAUCGCUUGUAUCUCUAGCGCUGCCCAGAUACAGUGUCAGCAUCCCUUAGACACUGCUCAGUAAAGGAUACAUUCUUACCCUUUAUCUAGCACAUCCCUGUCCAAUAAAAAUAUAAUUUGGGCCCCAUAUAUAAGUAUUGUACAUAUAAUGUAUAUUAUAUAUAUAAUUAUUUGAGCCACAUACUUUCUAGCAGCCUCAUUUAAAAAAGUAAAGAGAAAC
RNAcentral lists this long non-coding RNA (2561 nucleotides) under Equus caballus (horse). Its description in RNAcentral is "lncRNA (ENSECAG00000053970.1)". The record is from RNAcentral. Lineage: Eukaryota; Metazoa; Chordata; Mammalia; Perissodactyla; Equidae.